Molecule: ribosomal RNA, 118 nt
Organism: Ictalurus punctatus (channel catfish)
Lineage: Eukaryota; Metazoa; Chordata; Actinopteri; Siluriformes; Ictaluridae
Source: Ensembl
GCUUACGGCCAUACACUCUGAAAAAGCCUGAUCUCAUCUGACCUUGGAAGCAAAGCAGAGUUGGGCCUGGUUAGUACUUGGUUGGGAGACUGAAUGGGAAUACUAGGUGCUGUAAGCU